RNAcentral lists this ribosomal RNA (253 nucleotides) under uncultured bacterium. RNAcentral describes it as "partial 16S ribosomal RNA". It matches the Rfam family "Bacterial small subunit ribosomal RNA", at positions 524 to 776 of the family's 1533-position model. The record is from RNAcentral.
UACGUAGGGACCGAGCGUUGUCCGGAAUCAUUGGGCGUAAAGAGCGUGUAGGCGGCCUUUUAAGUCCUGCGUGAAAUCCUGCGGCUCAACCGCAGACGGUCGUGGGAAACUGGAAGGCUAGAGUGCGGGAGAGGAGAGUGGAAUUCCCGAUGUAGCGGUGAAAUGCGCAGAUAUCGGGAAGAACACCCGUGGCGAAGGCGGCUCUCUGGAACGCAACUGACGCUGAGACGCGAAAGCGUGGGGAGCAAACGGG